AUUGAACGCUGGCGGAAUGCUUUACACAUGCAAGUCGAACGGCAGCACGGGGGCAACCCUGGUGGCGAGUGGCGAACGGGUGAGUAAUACAUCGGAACGUGCCCCGUCGUGGGGGAUAACGUAGCGAACGUUACGCUAAUACCGCAUACGAUCUACGGAUGAAAGCGGGGGACCGUAAGGCCUCGCGCGAUUGGAGCGGCCGAUGUCAGAUUAGGUAGUUGGUGAGGUAAAGGCUCACCAAGCCGACGAUCUGUAGCUGGUCUGAGAGGACGACCAGCCACACUGGGACUGGGACAGCGCCCAGACUCCUACGGGAGGCAGCAGUGGGUAAUUUUGGACAAGGGGGGCAAGCCUGAUCCAGCCAUUCCGCGUGCAGGACGAAGGCCUUCGGGUUGUAAACUGCUUUUGUACGGAACGAAAAGGCUCUGGUUAAUACCUGGGGCUCAUGACGGUACCGUAAGAAUAAGCACCGGCUAACUACGUGCCAGCCGCCGCAGUAA
RNAcentral lists this ribosomal RNA (500 nucleotides) under uncultured bacterium. Its description in RNAcentral is "partial 16S ribosomal RNA". It matches the Rfam family "Bacterial small subunit ribosomal RNA", at positions 30 to 523 of the family's 1533-position model. The record is from RNAcentral.